This 460-nucleotide ribosomal RNA is filed under the name uncultured bacterium. RNAcentral's name for it is "partial 16S ribosomal RNA". It matches the Rfam family "Bacterial small subunit ribosomal RNA", at positions 338 to 795 of the family's 1533-position model. The record is from RNAcentral.
CCUACGGGAGGCAGCAGUGAGGAAUAUUGGUCAAUGGGCGCGAGCCUGAACCAGCCAAGUCGCGUGAGGGAUGAAGGUUCUAUGGAUCGUAAACCUCUUUUAUAAGGGAAUAAAGUGUGGGACGUGUCCUAUUUUGUAUGUACCUUAUGAAUAAGGAUCGGCUAACUCCGUGCCAGCAGCCGCGGUAAUACGGAGGAUCCGAGCGUUAGCCGGAUUUAUUGGGUUUAAAGGGUGCGUAGGGGGCCUUUUAAGUCAGCGGGGAAAGUUUGUGGCUCAACCAUAGAAUUGCCGUUGAAACUGGUGGGCUUGAGUAUGUGUGAGGCAGGCGGAAUGCGUGGUGUAGCGGUGAAAUGCUUAGAUAUCACGCAGAACCCCGAUUGCGAAGGCAGCCUGCCAAGCCAUGACUGACGCUGAUGCACGAAAGCGUGGGGAUCAAACAGGAUUAGAUACCCUGGUAGUC